Molecule: ribosomal RNA, 253 nt
Filed under: uncultured bacterium
Lineage: Bacteria
Description: partial 16S ribosomal RNA
Rfam family: Bacterial small subunit ribosomal RNA
Source: RNAcentral
UACAGAGGGGGCAAGCGUUAUUCGGAAUUAUUGGGCGUAAAGGGCGCGUAGGCGGCUUGGCAAGUGGAAGGUGAAAUCCCUCGGCUUAACCGAGGAACUGCCCUCCAAACUGCUUUGCUUGAGGCCGGGAGAGGUGAGUGGAAUUCCUGGUGUAGCGGUGAAAUGCGCAGAUAUCAGGAGGAACACCGAUGGCGAAGGCAGGUCUCUGGGCCAUAACUGACGCUGAGAAGCGAAAGCAUGGGGAGCGAACAGG